This 767-nucleotide ribosomal RNA is filed under the name Vibrio sp. RNAcentral's name for it is "bacterial SSU rRNA". It matches the Rfam family "Bacterial small subunit ribosomal RNA", at positions 56 to 804 of the family's 1533-position model. The record is from RNAcentral. Lineage: Bacteria; Pseudomonadati; Pseudomonadota; Gammaproteobacteria; Vibrionales; Vibrionaceae.
UGCAGUCGAGCGGAACGAGUUAACUGACCCUUCGGGUGACGUUAACGGCGUCGAGCGGCGGACGGGUGAGUAAUGCCUGGGAAAUUGCCCUGAUGUGGGGGAUAACCAUUGGAAACGAUGGCUAAUACCGCAUAAUAGCUUCGGCUCAAAGAGGGGGACCUUCGGGCCUCUCGCGUCAGGAUAUGCCCAGGUGGGAUUAGCUAGUUGGUGAGGUAAUGGCUCACCAAGGCGACGAUCCCUAGCUGGUCUGAGAGGAUGAUCAGCCACACUGGAACUGAGACACGGUCCAGACUCCUACGGGAGGCAGCAGUGGGGAAUAUUGCACAAUGGGCGCAAGCCUGAUGCAGCCAUGCCGCGUGUGUGAAGAAGGCCUUCGGGUUGUAAAGCACUUUCAGUCGUGAGGAAGGUGGUGUAGUUAAUAGCUGCAUNAUUUGACGUUAGCGACAGAAGAAGCACCGGCUAACUCCGUGCCAGCAGCCGCGGUAAUACGGAGGGUGCGAGCGUUAAUCGGAAUUACUGGGCGUAAAGCGCAUGCAGGUGGUUAGUUAAGUCAGAUGUGAAAGCCCGGGGCUCAACCUCGGAACUGCAUUUGAAACUGGCUGACUAGAGUACUGUAGAGGGGGGUAGAAUUUCAGGUGUAGCGGUGAAAUGCGUAGAGAUCUGAAGGAAUACCGGUGGCGAAGGCGGCCCCCUGGACAGAUACUGACACUCAGAUGCGAAAGCGUGGGGAGCAAACAGGAUUAGAUACCCAGGUAGUCCACGCCGUA